This 2413-nucleotide ribosomal RNA is filed under the name human gut metagenome. Its description in RNAcentral is "bacterial LSU rRNA". It matches the Rfam family "Bacterial large subunit ribosomal RNA", at positions 14 to 2461 of the family's 2925-position model. The record is from RNAcentral.
AGGGCAGACGGUGGAUGCCUUGGCUCUCGGAGGCGACGAAGGACGUGAUAAGCUGCGAAAAGCCCGGGGGAGGCGCAAAUAGCCCUUGAUCCCGGGAUAUCCGAAUGGGGCAACCCGGCAGGCUGAAGGCCUGCCAUCCCGUAAGGGAGGCGAACGUGGGGAACUGAAACAUCUAAGUACCCAUAGGAGGAGAAAAUAAACAAUGAUUCCGUAAGUAGUGGCGAGCGAACACGGAAGAGCCCAAACCCAUGUCGUCUAGGCGACACGGGGGUUGUAGGACCACGACGUGGCAAGAUAGAGUCAAGUGGAACGCCUUGGAAAAGGCGACCGUAGAGGGUGAUAGUCCCGUACACGACUGACGAUUGAAGCCUAGUGGCAUCCUGAGUAGCGCGGGGCACGAGAAAUCUUGCGUGAAACAGCGGGGCCCAUCCCGUAAGGCUAAAUACUCCCGAGAGACCGAUAGCGAACCAGUACCGUGAGGGAAAGGUGAAAAGAACCCCGAGCAGGGGAGUGAAAUAGACCCUGAACCCGUCUGCCUACAAGCGGUCGGAGCAUCGUCAAGAUGUGACGGCGUGCCUUUUGCAUAAUGAACCUACGAGUUACCUUCCCCGGCAAGGUUAAGUACCUAAGGUACGGAGCCGAAGCGAAAGCGAGUCUGAACAGGGCGGCCAGUCGGGGGGGGUAGACGCGAAACCGAGUGAUCUACCCUUGGCCAGGUUGAAGGUUGGGUAACACCAACUGGAGGACCGGAUGGGUAAGCGUUGAAAAGCUUUCCAAUGAGCUGAGGGUAGGGGUGAAAGGCUAAUCAAACUCGGAGAUAGCUCGUACUCCCCGAAAUGCAUUUAGGUGCAGCCUCUUUAUAGUAUAUCGUGAGGUAGAGCGACUGAUUGGAUGCGAGGGCUUCACCGCCUAUCAAGUCCAGAUAAACUCCGAAUGCGCGAUAUAUAUUUACAGGGAGUGAGGGCGCGGGUGCUAAGGUCCGUGUCCGAGAGGAGAAGAAUCCAGACCACCGGCUAAGGCCCCCAAAUGAUCGUUGAGUUGAACUAACGAGGUCGGAUCGCAGAGACAGCUAGGAUGUUGGCUUGGAAGCAGCCAUUCAUUUAAAGAGUGCGUAACAGCUCACUAGUCGAGCGAUCUGGCGUGGAUAAUAAUCGGGCAUAAACGAUCUGCCGAAGCCGUGGAUGUCGUAAGACAUGGUAGGGGAGCAUUCCAUGCGGCGUCGAAGAUGAGGGAUGACCCUUGUUGGAGCGCAUGGAAAAGCAAAUGUAGGUAUGAGUAACGAUAAGGGGGGCGAGAAACCCCCCCGCCGAAAGACCAAGGUUUCCUGAUCAACGCUAAUCGGAUCAGGGUGAGUCGGGACCUAAGGCUAAGCCGAACGGCGACGCCGAUGGAAGAAUGGGUUAAUAUUCCCAUACUGCCUCAUGGAGUGACGUGGAGACGGAGAAGUGACAGUCCUGCCGGCUGACGGAAUAGCCGGUUGAAGGGUGUAGAUAUUGAUUCCCGUAGGCAAAUCCGCGGGGAGAGUCGAACCUGAGAGUAUACGGAGCGCUUGCGCAACGUAAUAUGGACGUAACCAUGCUCCCAAGAAAAUCCGCUAAACUUAUCCAUGCGGCACCCGUACCGUAAACGGACACACGUGGUCGGGUUGAGAAUACUGAGGCGCUCGAGUGAUUCACGGUUAAGGAACUAGGCAAAUUGACCCUGUAACUUCGGGAUAAAGGGUCCCAACGAGAGUUGGGCGCAGAGAAUAGGUCCAGGCAACUGUUUAACAAAAACACAGGGCUGUGCUAAAUUGAAAGAUUACGUAUACAGCCUGACACCUGCCCGGUGCUGGAAGGUUAAGAGGAGAUGUCAUCGCAAGAGAAGCGUUGAAUUGAAGCCCCAGUAAACGGCGGCCGUAACUAUAACGGUCCUAAGGUAGCGAAAUUCCUUGUCGGGUAAGUUCCGACCUGCACGAAUGGUGUAAUGAUCUGGACGCUGUCUCAACCGUGAGCUCAGUGAAAUUGUAGUAUCGGUGAAGAUGCCGAUUACCCGCGAUGGGACGAAAAGACCCCGUGAACCUUUACUAUAGCUUUACAUUGAAUUUGGGCAGACGAUGUGUAGGAUAGGCCGGAGGCUUUGAAGGGGGUACGCCAGUAUCCUUGGAGCCGCCGUUGAAAUACGGCCCUUCGGUUGUUUGAGUUCUAACUCCUAGGCAGGAGGACACUGUAUGGUGGGUAGUUUGACUGGGGUGGUCGCCUCCAAAAGCGUAACGGAGGCUUCUAAAGGUGCCCUCAGACCGAUUGGUAACCGGUCGCAGAGUGUAAUGGCAUAAGGGCGCUUGACUGGGAGAGAUACAACUCGAUCAGGUAGGAAACUAGAGCAUAGUGAUCCGGUGGUUCCGCAUGGAAGGGCCAUCGCUCAAAGGAUAAAA